GGCUCGAAAAGGCUUCUAAAAGAUAAAGCCGGUCUCAGCCUUGCUAAGUAGAACCGAGAGGGAAAGAUCUGCCGCCCUCUGGGCUUGCGAGGAGCCAGCAGCAUCGCGCCCCCUGCCGGCCAGUGAGGGGGCCGCCCCUCCCCGGAAGAAGAGGGCGGGGCCGCCAGAGAAAGACGCAUCCAACCUGGAUCAGGAUGGGCGCCUCUGGGAGUUUUACUGGAGCAGCUAGUGAAUAAAUUGGCUCCGCGAUUCAGAGAGCAUCAACCUAGGGUGGGAUCAAGGCUGGCCGAUCCCCCACGCCCACACCCCGCAAUGCGCACGCAGCGAAGAUUGCUCAGCUGUGCCUUCCUAAGAACGAAUGGAAGGAGACCAAGGGAGAAGUACAUGAUGAUUCAUCUUGGAGAAAAAUAUUCUUAUAGCAAGAAGAGUUUCCCUGGAUGUUAUGUGUUACUAAGCAGCCCUCUGAAAGACAACAAAAAGAAGUAAAAGAAUGCCUUUAAGGAAGUUACCACCGCCAGAUAACCAGCCCCCAGCUACCAUUGAUGCCCAGAAGUCUGGUUGCCUAAGAGCCUAUCUGGAGGGAAAGAAACAUGGACUUGCCCCUCAUUUCUCUGAAACUCCUCCCCCCAAGCCCCUUAGCUCUAUAAAGACUGCUUGCUUUCUUCUUUCCUUAAGAUGGACUUGAAAGAACCUAUCGUCCCACCUUCUUGUUUGGGCCAAUUUGAAUAAAUCUUUC
This 736-nucleotide long non-coding RNA is filed under the name Equus asinus (donkey). RNAcentral's name for it is "lncRNA (ENSEASG00005033128.1)". Lineage: Eukaryota; Metazoa; Chordata; Mammalia; Perissodactyla; Equidae. The record is from RNAcentral.